This 23-nucleotide non-coding RNA is filed under the name Rattus norvegicus (Norway rat). Lineage: Eukaryota; Metazoa; Chordata; Mammalia; Rodentia; Muridae. The record is from RNAcentral.
CAUUGGUUCCCCAGAGAGUGCAC